GACGAACGCUGGCGGCGUGCUUAACACAUGCAAGUCGAACGGAAAGGCCUGCUUUCCCUUGUGGAUUGCGGGUACUCGAGUGGCGAACGGGUGAGUAACACGUGAGUGAUCUGCCCCCAACUUGGGUAUAAGCCUGGGAAACUGGGUCUAAUUCCCGAUAGGACUGCAGGGUGGUGCCUGUGGUGGAAAACGAUUUUCUAGUGGUUGGGGAUGAGCUCGCGGCCUAUCAGCUUGUGGGUGGGGUAAUGUCCUACCAAGGCGGCGACGGGUAGCCGGCCUGAGAGGGGGGACGGCCACAGUGGGACUGAGAUACGGCCCAGACGCCUACGGGAGGCAGCAGUGGGGAAUAUGGCACAAUGGGCGGAAGCCUGAUGCAGCGACGCCGCGUGGGGGAUGACGGCCUUCGGGUUGUAAACUCCUUUCGACCGCGAGGAAGCCACCUGGUUGGAAGGGUGGUGACGGUAGUGGUAGAAGAAGCACCGGCUAACUACGUG
This 494-nucleotide ribosomal RNA is filed under the name uncultured bacterium. RNAcentral describes it as "partial 16S ribosomal RNA". It matches the Rfam family "Bacterial small subunit ribosomal RNA", at positions 28 to 507 of the family's 1533-position model. The record is from RNAcentral.